UACGUAGGGUGCGAGCGUUAAUCGGAAUUACUGGGCGUAAAGCGUGCGCAGGCGGCGCGUUAAGACAGGUGUGAAAGCCCCGAGCUUAACUUGGGAAUUGCGCUUGUGACUGGCGAGCUGGAGUGUGGCAGAGGAAGGUGGAAUUCCACGUGUAGCAGUGAAAUGCGUGGAGAUGUGGAGGAACACCGAUGGCGAAGGCAGCCUCCUGGGCCAGCACUGACGCUCAUGCACGAAAGCGUGGGGAGCAAACAGG
This 253-nucleotide ribosomal RNA is filed under the name uncultured bacterium. Its description in RNAcentral is "partial 16S ribosomal RNA". It matches the Rfam family "Bacterial small subunit ribosomal RNA", at positions 524 to 776 of the family's 1533-position model. The record is from RNAcentral.